UACAGCCAUAUCACGUUGAAACACCAGUUCUCGUUCGAUCAUGGAAGUUAAGUAACGUCGAGUUUGUUCAGUACCUAGAUGGGUGACCGCUUUGGAAUACCAGCUACUGUA
This 111-nucleotide ribosomal RNA is filed under the name Acanthosepion pharaonis. The record is from RNAcentral. Lineage: Eukaryota; Metazoa; Mollusca; Cephalopoda; Sepiida; Sepiidae.